AGCCAUGCCGCGUGUGUGAAGAAGGCCUUCGGGUUGUAAAGCACUUUUGUUGGGGAAGAAACCGGCCGGGGUUAAUACCCUGGUUGAAUGACGGUACCCAAAGAAUAAGCACCGGCUAACUUCGUGCCAGCAGCCGCGGUAAUACGAAGGGUGCAAGCGUUACUCGGAAUUACUGGGCGUAAAGCGUGCGUAGGCGGUUUGUUAAGUCUGCUGUGAAAGCCCUGGGCUCAACCUGGGAACUGCAGUGGAUACUGGCGAGCUAGAGUGUGUCAGAGGAUGGUGGAAUUCCCGGUGUAGCGGUGAAAUGCGUAGAGAUCGGGAGGAACACCAGUGGCGUAAGGCGGCCAUCUGGGACAACACUGACGCUGAGGCACGAAAGCGUGGGGAGCAAACAGGAUUAGAUACCCUGGUAGUCCACGCCCUAAACGAUGCGAACUGGACGUUGGGCACACUUAGGUGCUCAGUUGUACGAAGCUAACGCGUUAAGUUCGCCGCCUGGGGAGUACGGUCGCAAGACUGAAACUCAAAGGAAUUGACGGGGG
This 542-nucleotide ribosomal RNA is filed under the name uncultured bacterium. RNAcentral describes it as "bacterial SSU rRNA". It matches the Rfam family "Bacterial small subunit ribosomal RNA", at positions 390 to 919 of the family's 1533-position model. The record is from RNAcentral.